ACCGGCAGCUCAAGUGGUGGCCAUUUUUAUUGGGCCUAAAGCGUUCGUAGCCGGUUUGAUAAGUCUCUGGUGAAAUCCCGCAGCUUAACUGUGGGACUUGCUGGAGAUACUAUUAGACUUGAGGUCGGGAGAGGUUAGGGGUACUCCCAGGCUAUGGGUGAAAUCUUAUAAUCGUGGGAGUACUACCUGUGGCGAAGGCGCCUAACUGGAACGAACCUGAGGUUGAGUAACGAAAGCCAAGCGCGCGACCCG
Molecule: ribosomal RNA, 252 nt
Filed under: uncultured prokaryote
Description: partial 16S rRNA
Rfam family: Archaeal small subunit ribosomal RNA
Source: RNAcentral